Molecule: long non-coding RNA, 2008 nt
Filed under: Gossypium barbadense (sea-island cotton)
Lineage: Eukaryota; Viridiplantae; Streptophyta; Magnoliopsida; Malvales; Malvaceae
Description: long non-coding RNA (GBAR_LNC008217)
Source: RNAcentral
UGAUCCCUUUCGCUGUAUGGCGUGCUCGUUUGGGUUGGGCGUCGGCUAAGAAUGCUCGGAGCUUGGAUUAACUCCAGUCGCCAAUAAGGUGUGUAUUUCUCGCUACUCUAGCUGUAGGAUGGCUACUUCGGGCCGCGAUGGGCCGAAAGGGGUCAUGUGGGCCUAAUGGGCCUACGGGCCCAAUUGGAUAAGUUGUUUGAUUGUGUAGUAAAUAUUAGACUAGGCUAGGUGAAUCUCAUAUCUGUGGCUAGAUUUGGGCCAAAAGGGCCACACGAGCGUGUGGGCCCAUUUGGGCCGAGAAUAGGCUUUAGGCCCAUUCGUAUUGUUAUCCUUGUUUAGAAUACUUUAGUUUACCAAAUUACUGAAAUACCCUCAAAUUGUAAAAUUACCAAAGUACCCUCAAUUUAUAGAAUUAUCGUUUUACCCUCGAUUUACAGAAUUAUCGUUUUACACUCGAUUUAUAGAAUUACUGUUUUACCCUUGAUUUAUAGAAUUACUAUUUUACCCUCGAUUUACAAAAUUACUAAAAUACCCUCGGUUUACAAAAUUACCAAAAUACCCUCGAUCAGUAAAAUUACCAAAAUACCCUAGUAUGUAAAAUUGCUAAAAUACCCUUGGUUUGUAAAAUUACCGAAAUACCCUCAAUUUGUAAAAUUACCAAAAUACCCCUGAUUUACAAAGUUACAGAAAUACCCUUGACUUUCUAAAAAUUAUGGAAAUACCAUUGGUUUAAAAAAUUACUAAAAUACCCUUGGUUUGUAGAUUUACCAAAACACCCUUGUAGGAUGAAAUGACUAAAAUACCCCUAUUAGGUAAAAAGAUCGUAAAGCCCUUGUAGGGUAAAGAGACCGUAAAGCCCCUGUCGGGUAAAGUGAUCGUAAUACCCCUGUAUGGUAAAAUGACGAAUAUGCCCUUAUGUUCCGUAUGACUAAUGUGCUUAGGAUUUACAUAUAUUGAUAUUGGAUUAGUUAAGUUUGAGUGACAGGUGGUGGUUAUCGUAGGCGAUUGAUUUUGGAAACGUUUUAACUUCAACCCGUAACAGGUGUGUACUAACCCUCGUAAUAGCUUAGAUUAAUAUUUGCUGAGAAGCUGAAAUGCUAAAAUACCGGUAUUUCGGGAACUUGUAAUGUUGCAUUUGGGUAGAUGCGAUAAAUAUGAUAAGAUCGGUGUUUGGAUCGAUGGAACAGGUAAGAACUCAAUUUUUUGCACGAUGGUAAGUUGGGCCUCAAUAGGCUGAAAUUGGGCCCAAUGGGCUUUCAGACCCAUUUGGGUAGAAUUGAUAGAAAAUGGAAUUUGGAAAAGUUGCACGUUAACACGGUUAGUAUUGUUGUAAAAUUUGGGUUAAGUAGGCUAAAUCAGCAUUUGUAGGGCCCAUUAGGGGUUUUGGGCCCAAAAGCCCGAAUUUGAUAAAGUGGGUUAAAGAUCAUUGUUUAAACACUCGAAAAUAUUGAUAAUUGUAAUGAACAUGGAAAACCCUGAUAUUUGGUAAAAUUACGAAAAUACCCUUAUAAUGUGAAAAAUGACUGUUUUGCGCUUGUGGGCAAGUGACAGAGUUGGACUAUAUGGUUGACGGAUUGAUUGUGAAUAUAUGUUGGUGAUAUGAAUGACUUGACUGUGAUUGUUUAUUCAAAUAUGGGCAUGACAUUCUGCAUACAUGACAUGUUGCAUUGGGUUGGGUUUUUAUAUGGAUGGAGGAAGUGCAAAAGGGCUUAUGCCCUAGUUUAUUGAAAAUGGGCUUUCACUGUUUGUUUGUUAUUGGGAUUACACACUGAGUUUUCGUAAACUCACCCCGUUUCUAACUGUGCAGGUAAUCCCUAAGCUUAGAUGGUUUGGAGUUGCGAGGGACUCGGAGAUGGCCACACUACUGUUUCUGUUUCUUUUAAUUGCAAUAAGUAGCCGAUUUAUUUCUUUAUAAGUUUUAUCUUAUUAAUAUUAUUGUUUGGUUUUGAGUUCUAAUAAGGCCAUUUUAUUCUUUUUCUGGGAUUAUUUUAUUUUUAAUAACUUUAAU